Cebus imitator (Panamanian white-faced capuchin) is the source of this 102-nucleotide unclassified non-coding RNA. It matches the Rfam family "Y RNA". Rfam says of the family: Y RNAs are components of the Ro ribonucleoprotein particle (Ro RNP), in association with Ro60 and La proteins. The Y RNAs and Ro60 and La proteins are well conserved, but the function of the Ro RNP is not known. The record is from Ensembl. NCBI's taxonomy places the organism in Eukaryota, Metazoa, Chordata, Mammalia, Primates, Cebidae.
GGCUGGUCUAAAUGCAGUUGUGGUUACAAUCAAUUGAUCACAGCCAGUUACAGAAUUCUUUGUUCCUUCUCUGCUCCCACAACAUCACUUGACUAGCCUUAU